GAUGAACGCUGGCGGCGUGCCUAAUACAUGCAAGUCGAGCGAACGGACGAGAAGCUUGCUUCUCUGAUGUUAGCGGCGGACGGGUGAGUAACACGUGGAUAACCUACCUAUAAGACUGGGAUAACUUCGGGAAACCGUAGCUAAUACCGGAUAAUAUUUUGAACCGCAUGGUUCAAAAGUGAAAGACGGUCUUGCUGUCACUUAUAGAUGGAUCCGCGCUGCAUUAGCUAGUUGGUAAGGUAACGGCUUACCAAGGCAACGAUGCAUAGCCGACCUGAGAGGGUGAUCGGCCACACUGGAACUGAGACACGGUCCAGACUCCUACGGGAGGCAGCAGUACGGAAUCUUCCGCAAUGGGCGAAAGCCUGACGGAGCAACGCCGCGUGAGUGAUGAAGGUCUUCGGAUCGUAAAACUCUGUUAUUAGGGAAGAACAUAUGUGUAAGUAACUGUGCACAUCUUGACGGUACCUAAUCAGAAAGCCACGGCUAACUACGUG
Molecule: ribosomal RNA, 497 nt
Filed under: uncultured bacterium
Lineage: Bacteria
Description: partial 16S ribosomal RNA
Rfam family: Bacterial small subunit ribosomal RNA
Source: RNAcentral